RNAcentral lists this ribosomal RNA (348 nucleotides) under Triticum aestivum (bread wheat). Its description in RNAcentral is "partial small subunit ribosomal RNA". Lineage: Eukaryota; Viridiplantae; Streptophyta; Magnoliopsida; Poales; Poaceae. The record is from RNAcentral.
AUGGUGUGUUCCGUGUGGCGCUGCCUUCGCGGCCGCCGCCGUUCCCUUGUUGUGUCUCUGAGACUGGAGGUCCCUGCUCGCCAACUCACAGACGCCCUGAAUGGUUCAGAUUUUCUGAAGGAGGAGGUGCCGAAAGGGGAUGGGAGCAACAAGUCUGAAUCGAAGAGAACUGAUGGCAUGUCCUGCCAUGAAGAAUUUGAAGCGGUCAGAAGACAUAAGAGCCCGGUCCUAUACUAUGUUAAGGCCAUGCUGAUGUGUAAGAGUUUGCGGGUGACAUCCUCCAUGGCAAUCAUAUUCCCUCCAACAUCCUUCAAGCCAUGGCGACCAGGUCAAAGAAGUCGAACCUGA